RNAcentral lists this transfer RNA (87 nucleotides) under Candidatus Pelethosoma merdigallinarum. RNAcentral describes it as "tRNA-Leu". It matches the Rfam family "tRNA". Rfam says of the family: Transfer RNA (tRNA) molecules are approximately 80 nucleotides in length. Their secondary structure includes four short double-helical elements and three loops (D, anti-codon, and T loops). The record is from RNAcentral. Lineage: Bacteria; Bacillati; Mycoplasmatota.
GCAAGAGUGGUGGAAUCGGUAGACACGCAAGCUUGAGGGGCUUGUGAGAAUAUUCUCGUGUGGGUUCAAAUCCCAUCUCUUGCACCA